Molecule: long non-coding RNA, 406 nt
Filed under: Homo sapiens (human)
Lineage: Eukaryota; Metazoa; Chordata; Mammalia; Primates; Hominidae
Description: non-protein coding lnc-ETFBKMT-7:1
Source: RNAcentral
CUCCUAAACUCAAAUGAUCCUCCUGCCUUGGCCUCCCAAAGUGGGCAUGAGCCACCACGCCCAGUCAUGAAAAUCAGUCCAAGAGGUCUAGCACUUCUUGCGUAGCACUUCAGAAUACAAUAGGUCAUGAUCACUUUAAUCAGAUAGGGCCAAUGGAGAUAUGCAGACCCUAGUUCCAGGCCCACUCAAUGAGACAUGAUAAAUACUGAGAGGGGUAUAGGGGGGUUGGGGUCACUGAGCCUGUGCUGUGUUGACAAGAGAAGUUCAAUGUGGCAGUCAAACUUAGCAUCCAAAGUGGGCCACCAUCUCUAGAUGGCGUCUACACGGUCAGCAAAAGGGGCCGUAAGAUUUAGUUGUUGCAAAUGGUGACAGAAAGGAGCAUCCAAGGCAUCUGGCAUUCGGAAAU